RNAcentral lists this long non-coding RNA (1210 nucleotides) under Cairina moschata (Muscovy duck). RNAcentral's name for it is "domestica (muscovy Duck (domestic type)) lncRNA (ENSCMMG00000011289.1)". The record is from RNAcentral. Lineage: Eukaryota; Metazoa; Chordata; Aves; Anseriformes; Anatidae.
UUUUUUUAACCUAAAGCUGGUGGUGUUUAGCCAAAAGGGGCCAGUUUUUAACCAAAAGGAGGCAAAUUUUUAACUUAAAAAGGCGUUUUUUUUUUUAACCUAAAACUGGUGGUUUUUAGCCAAAAGGGGCCAGUUUUUAGCCAAAAGAGGCCGUUUUUUAGCCAAAAGGGGCGUAUUUUUAACCUAAAGGUGGAGUUUAUUUACCUAAAAGGGGCAUUUUUUAAUCUAAAGGGGCUGUGUUUUUUGUUUUUUUUUGUUUUUUUAACCUAAAGGAUCUUUUUUUUUUUUAGCCCAAAGGGGGGAGUUUUUAAGCAAAAGGGGGUCGUGUUUUUUUAACCUAAAGUGGGGGCGUUUUUAACCUAAAGCAGGUGGUUUUUAACCUAAAAGGGCUUUAACAAAAUGCACGUUUGGGGAGGGGCACCCUGUGCGAGGCGUGCUGUCCCUGACCCCCCCCCUUCUGUCCCUGACCCCCCCCUUCUGUCCCUGACCCCCCCCUUCUGUCCCUGACCCCCCCCUUCUGUCCCUGACCCCAUCUCUGUCCUGCAGAGCCUCUCGCCCCAGGAGCGGGCUGCCUACAAGGAGCACACCUCCAACAAACGCAAGAGCAUAGGGAAGAUCCGAGGCCCCAACCCCAAGAUGAAGCCCACCAUGCAGUCCAAGUCGGAGUCAGAGGACGACGAUGACGAGGAAGAGGAGGAGGAGGAUGAUGAUGAAGAUGAAGACGACGACGAUGACAACGGGGACUCGUCGGAGGAAGGCGGCGACUCCUCGGAGUCCAGCAGCGAGGAGGAGAGUGAGGACGGGGACGAGGUGAGGCUGCGGGGGGGGGGGGGACACACAGUUUUUUGGGGGGUCACGCUCGCUCGGCCCCCUCCCCUUCUGCGGGGACAGGGCUGCGGGGUGGGCGUCGGGGCGGGCAAAAAAAUGAAAUUAUAAAAUAAGGAAAAAUGAAAUGAAAUACGGAAAAUUGAAAUAAAAUAAGGAAAAAAUGAAAUAAGAAAAAAAUGAAAUGAAAUAAGGAAAAAAUGAAAUAAAAAAGGAAAAAUGAAAUAAAAAAGGAAAAAUGAAAUAAAAAAGGAAAAAUGAAAUAAAUAAUGAAAAAAAUAAAUAAAAAAAAGGAAAAAUGAAGUAAUGAAAAACUGAAAUAAAAAAAGGAAAAACUGAAAUAAAAAAAAGGAAAAAUGAAAUCCAAUCGCGGGGGGGGACCGGG